CUCUUCCCAUUCCGAACAGAGAAGUUAAGCUUCGCCACGCCGAUGGUACUGCGUACAAGUGGGAGAGUAGGUAGUCGCCGUUU
This 83-nucleotide ribosomal RNA is filed under the name Candidatus Phocaeicola merdigallinarum. The record is from RNAcentral. Lineage: Bacteria; Pseudomonadati; Bacteroidota; Bacteroidia; Bacteroidales; Bacteroidaceae.